This 352-nucleotide ribosomal RNA is filed under the name uncultured fungus. RNAcentral describes it as "eukaryotic LSU rRNA". The stretch from base 1 to 114 matches the Rfam family "5.8S ribosomal RNA", at positions 42 to 154 of the family's 154-position model. The record is from RNAcentral. Lineage: Eukaryota; Fungi.
AACGCAGCGAAGGGCGAUAAGUAAUGUGAAUUGCAGAUUUUCAGUGAAUCAUCGAAUCUUUGAACGCACCUUGCGCUCCUUGGUAUUCCGAGGAGCAUGCCUGUUUGAGUGUCAUUAAAUCAUCAACCCCACCGAUUUGUUCGGCUUGGGGCUUGGACUUGGAGCGUGCUGGCGAAGGUCGGCUCCUCUUUAAAUGCAUCAGCGGAAGAAUGCAUCUUUUUUCCCUUCAGCGUAAUAAUCCUGUUGCGCUGUGUGUGGGUCAAAGGUGUUCCGCUUAUAAUCGUCCUUCGGACAAACGAACCCCUAUCUAUUUUUUGACCUCAAAUCAGGUAGGACUACCCGCUGAGCUUAA